This 254-nucleotide ribosomal RNA is filed under the name uncultured bacterium. Its description in RNAcentral is "partial 16S ribosomal RNA". It matches the Rfam family "Bacterial small subunit ribosomal RNA", at positions 524 to 776 of the family's 1533-position model. The record is from RNAcentral.
UACGGGGGGAGCAAGCGUUGUUCGGAUUUACUGGGCGUAAAGGGCGGGUAGGCGGCCACCGCAAGUCAGUUGUGAAAUCUCCGGGCUUAACCCGGAAAGGUCAACUGAUACUGCGGGGCUAGAGUGCAGAAGGGGCAACUGGAAUUCUCGGUGUAGCGGUGAAAUGCGUAGAUAUCGCUUGGAACGCCGAAGGUGAAAACAGGUCGCUGGGGACGCGCCGACGCUGAGACACGAAAGCCAGGGGAGCAAACGGG